GACGAACGCUGGCGGCGUGCUUAAUACAUGCAAGUCAACUGAACUUAGGAUAGCAAUAUUUUAAGGGAGGUGGCGCACGGGUGAGUAACACGUAGGUAAUCUGCCUUUAGGUCUGACAUAACCUACCGAAAGGUAGGCUAAAAUCAGAUGAUGCAGCGGCUCGACAUCGAGACAGUUGUUAAAUCUUCGGAGCCUAAAGAUGAGCCUGCGUCUGAUUAGGUAGUUGGCGGUGUAAUGGACCACCAAGCCUGCGAUCAGUAGCUGGUCUGAGAGGAUGAUCAGCCACACUGGAACUGAGACACGGUCCAGACUCCUACGGGAGGCAGCAGUAAGGAAUAUUGCUCAAUGGCCGAAAGGCUGAAGCAGCAACGCCGCGUGGAGGAUGAAAUACUUUGUAUGUAAACUCCUGUAAGAAGGGAAAAUGUUCGAUUCAUCGGAAUUGAUUGUAACCUUCAGAGUAAG
Molecule: ribosomal RNA, 462 nt
Filed under: uncultured bacterium
Lineage: Bacteria
Description: bacterial SSU rRNA
Rfam family: Bacterial small subunit ribosomal RNA
Source: RNAcentral